UUUAAAGUAAUUAUAUAAAAGUAUAAUUAGUUUACGUCUAAUUGGAAGAAAAUUAUUUUUCUCUUUAAAU
RNAcentral lists this transfer RNA (70 nucleotides) under Parakontikia atrata. RNAcentral's name for it is "tRNA-Val". Lineage: Eukaryota; Metazoa; Platyhelminthes; Tricladida; Geoplanidae. The record is from RNAcentral.